This 216-nucleotide ribosomal RNA is filed under the name uncultured bacterium. Its description in RNAcentral is "partial 16S ribosomal RNA". It matches the Rfam family "Bacterial small subunit ribosomal RNA", at positions 524 to 731 of the family's 1533-position model. The record is from RNAcentral.
UACGGAGGGUGCAAGCGUUAUCCGGAUUUACUGGGUUUAAAGGGUGCGUAGGUGGAUAAGUAAGUCAGUGGUGAAAUCUCCGGGCUUAACCCGGAAACUGCCAUUGAUACUAUUUGUCUUGAAUACUUUGGGAGGUAAGACGGAAUAUGUGCAUGUAGCGGAUGAAAUGUCUUAGAUAUGACAUAGAAACUACCAAAUUGCGAAGGCAGCUUACUA